AUUCAAAGAGUGCGUAAUAGCUCACUAGUCGAGUGACCCUGCGCCGAAAAUGUAACGGGGCUAAACAGAUUACCGAAGCUGUGGAUUGGACCUAUGGUCCAGUGGUAGGAGAGCGUUCUAAGGGCGGUGAAGCAUGACCGUAAGGACAUGUGGAGCGCUUAGAAGUGAGAAUGCCGGUAUGAGUAGCGAAAGACGGGUGAGAAUCCCGUCCACCGAAUAACUAAGGUUUCCUGGGGAAGGCUCGUCCUCCCAGGGUUAGUCGGGACCUAAGGCGAGGCCGAUAGGCGUAGUCGAUGGACAACAGGUUGAUAUUCCUGUACUUCUAUAAAUCGUUUGAGCAAUGGAGGGACGCAGGAGGCUAAGAAAAGCGUACGACUGGAAGUGUACGCCCAAGCAGUGAGUCGGCUGAUGAGUCAAAUGCUUAUCACGGAUGCGACAAGCUGUAACGGGGAGGGAAGUUUAGUACCGAAGUUUCUGAUGUCACACUGCCGAGAAAAGCUUCUAGCAAGAUUUAUAGGACCCGUACCGCAAACCGACACAGGUAGUUGAGGAGAGAAUCCUAAGGUGAGCGAGCGAACUCUCGUUAAGGAACUCGGCAAAAUGACCCCGUAACUUCGGGAGAAGGGGUGCUGGUAGCAAUACCAGCCGCAGUGAAUAGGCCCAGGCGACUGUUUAUCAAAAACACAGGUCUCUGCAAAAUCGAAAGAUGACGUAUAGGGGCUGACGCCUGCCCGGUGCUGGAAGGUUAAGAGGAGAGGUUAGCGCAAGCGAAGCUUUGAAUUGAAGCCCCAGUAAACGGCGGCCGUAACUAUAACGGUCCUAAGGUAGCGAAAUUCCUUGUCGGGUAAGUUCCGACCCGCACGAAAGGCGUAACGAUUUGGGCACUGUCUCAACGAUGGACUCGGUGAAAUCAUAGUACCUGUGAAGAUGCAGGUUACCCGCGACAGGACGGAAAGACCCCAUGGAGCUUUACUGUAGUUUGAUAUUGAGUGUUUGUGUCACAUGUACAGGAUAGGUAGGAGCUGAAGAAUCCGGGACGCCAGUUUCGGAGGAGGCAACGGUGGGAUACUACCCUUGUGACAUGACCACUCUAACCCGCACCCCUAACCGGGGUGGGAGACAGUGUCAGACGGGCAGUUUGACUGGGGCGGUCGCCUCCUAAAAUGUAACGGAGGCGCCCAAAGGUUCCCUCAGAAUGGUUGGAAAUCAUUCGAAGAGUGUAAAGGCAGAAGGGAGCUUGACUGCGAGACCAACAAGUCGAGCAGGGACGAAAGUCGGGCUUAGUGAUCCGGUGGUACCGAGUGGAAGGGCCAUCGCUCAACGGAUAAAAGCUACCCCGGGGAUAACAGGCUUAUCUCCCCCAAGAGUUCACAUCGACGGGGAGGUUUGGCAC
This 1393-nucleotide ribosomal RNA is filed under the name human oral metagenome. RNAcentral describes it as "bacterial LSU rRNA". It matches the Rfam family "Bacterial large subunit ribosomal RNA", at positions 1121 to 2524 of the family's 2925-position model. The record is from RNAcentral.